Molecule: ribosomal RNA, 873 nt
Filed under: Fusarium sp.
Lineage: Eukaryota; Fungi; Ascomycota; Sordariomycetes; Hypocreales; Nectriaceae
Description: SSU rRNA
Rfam family: Eukaryotic small subunit ribosomal RNA
Source: RNAcentral
GGUGCCAGGAGCCGCGGUAAUUCCAGCUCCAAUAGCGUAUAUUAAAGUUGUUGUGGUUAAAAAGCUCGUAGUUGAACCUUGGGCCUGGCUGGCCGGUCCGCCUCACCGCGUGUACUGGUCCGGCCGGGCCUUUCCCUCUGUGGAACCCCAUGCCCUUCACUGGGUGUGGCGGGGAAACAGGACUUUUACUGUGAAAAAAUUAGAGUGCUCCAGGCAGGCCUAUGCUCGAAUACAUUAGCAUGGAAUAAUAGAAUAGGACGUGUGGUUCUAUUUUGUUGGUUUCUAGGACCGCCGUAAUGAUUAAUAGGGACAGUCGGGGGCAUCAGUAUUCAAUUGUCAGAGGUGAAAUUCUUGGAUUUAUUGAAGACUAACUACUGCGAAAGCAUUUGCCAAGGAUGUUUUCAUUAAUCAGGAACGAAAGUUAGGGGAUCGAAGACGAUCAGAUACCGUCGUAGUCUUAACCAUAAACUAUGCCGACUAGGGAUCGGACGGUGUUAUUUUUUGACCCGUUCGGCACCUUACGAGAAAUCAAAGUGCUUGGGCUCCAGGGGGAGUAUGGUCGCAAGGCUGAAACUUAAAGAAAUUGACGGAAGGGCACCACCAGGGGUGGAGCCUGCGGCUUAAUUUGACUCAACACGGGGAAACUCACCAGGUCCAGACACAAUGAGGAUUGACAGAUUGAGAGCUCUUUCUUGAUUUUGUGGGUGGUGGUGCAUGGCCGUUCUUAGUUGGUGGAGUGAUUUGUCUGCUUAAUUGCGAUAACGAACGAGACCUUAACCUGCUAAAUAGCCCGUAUUGCUUUGGCAGUACGCUGGCUUCUUAGAGGGACUAUCGGCUCAAGCCGAUGGAAGUUUGAGGCAAUAACACGUCUGU